GAUACCACAUGAUUAUGUGUAUUCCUAUCGAAUUAGAAUAAGAAACAUGAAUUAUAAAGAAUUUUAAUUCAAUAAUGAUAUGAAUUUAUAACCUCACUAUGUAAAGAAUCUCAUUAAUGAAGAAAAAUACGUUGGCAAUUGAUUUAUUCUGAGAAUUUAUGUCACCAAUGAGAUCAGCAACAAACCGUCAACGAGACCAACCA
RNAcentral lists this long non-coding RNA (203 nucleotides) under Elaeis guineensis (African oil palm). RNAcentral describes it as "long non-coding RNA (EGUI_LNC076030)". The record is from RNAcentral. Lineage: Eukaryota; Viridiplantae; Streptophyta; Magnoliopsida; Arecales; Arecaceae.